CCCUUCGCGCACAAGGGGAAAGAGCGAGAGAAAAGUGGAUCUUGAACACAAACGAGGUACAGCCUAAUUACGCGGGCGUUUCAUUGAACCAAACGACGCGACGGCGGCUGCGAGGAUGACAACUUCGCGAACUAGAAAUAACGCUCUUCUAAUAACGCGAUCGCUUUAACGCUGUAGCGGAUUAAGGCCCAAAUCACGGCGAUGAUGAUGGAAAAACCGACGUACAACCAGGGGUCGACGGAGUCGUUCAUGAUCCAGACAGGGAACAACGAUCCUUUCAAGUUUUUCUCAGUGACUUCGGAACCCGAAUCGCUGCCGGUGAGAAAAUGGCGCCUCGAUGUAGCUCUUCCUGGAGUCAGGUCGUGUUAGCGGAAAUGAAGAGUUCAGGGCGAUCGAUGGCCCUCGUGUUGCCCUUUUUUCGAGCAGGACCGGUGGGCUCUUGAUUUUUUGGCGGAUCAAAGGCGUCGGAGAACCGAAGCAAUACGAUUUUCGAGCUGAGUAAGUAACGUUCAAGCUCAGCUCAAAUGUCAAUGUUCUGUCGUAUGCAAUCAAUGGAAUAAGAAAAGCCUAUAUUCGGUUGCCGAGCAUCAGUAGAUCCGAGGCCGAUAAACACGACAUCGAUGGGAUUGAAGACAAAUAUUUGGAACUGCCAAAGCUAUAAUUUAUCACGUUUCAUCGAUUAGAUUGUAGAACAAUAUUUCUGAAAAAGCAUUUAGAUAAAACUCUUGACGAUUGAAGAUUGUAUGGAGUAAAACUCGAAUGAGUCAUUUUUAGUUAAAUGAGAA
This is a long non-coding RNA of Venturia canescens, 785 nucleotides long. RefSeq lists it as uncharacterized. The record is from RefSeq and is a predicted model, not a curated record. NCBI's taxonomy places the organism in Eukaryota, Metazoa, Arthropoda, Insecta, Hymenoptera, Ichneumonidae. The transcript has 4 exons.